AGUGAACGCUGGCGGUAGGCCUAACACAUGCAAGUCGAACGGCAGCACAGUAAGAGCUUGCUCUUACGGGUGGCGAGUGGCGGACGGGUGAGGAAUACAUCGGACUCUACUUUUUCGUGGGGGAUAACGUAGGGAAACUUACGCUACUACCGCAUACGACCUACGGGUGAAAGCAGGGGAUCUUCGGACCUUGCGCGAUUGAAUGAGCCGAUGUCGGAUUAGCUAGUUGGCGGGGUAAAGGCCCACCAAGGCGACGAUCCGUAGCUGGUCUGAGAGGAUGAUCAGCCACACUGGAACUGAGACACGGUCCAGACUCCUACGGGAGGCAGCAGUGGGGAAUAUUGGACAAUGGGCGCAAGCCUGAUCCAGCCAUACCGCGUGGGUGAAGAAGGCCUUCGGGUUGUAAAGCCCUUUUGUUGGGAAAGAAAAGCAGCAGGUUAAUACCCCGCGGUUCUGACGGUACCCAAAGAAUAAGCACCGGCUAACUUCGUG
This 492-nucleotide ribosomal RNA is filed under the name uncultured bacterium. Its description in RNAcentral is "partial 16S ribosomal RNA". It matches the Rfam family "Bacterial small subunit ribosomal RNA", at positions 29 to 507 of the family's 1533-position model. The record is from RNAcentral.